RNAcentral lists this ribosomal RNA (494 nucleotides) under uncultured bacterium. RNAcentral describes it as "bacterial SSU rRNA". It matches the Rfam family "Bacterial small subunit ribosomal RNA", at positions 244 to 755 of the family's 1533-position model. The record is from RNAcentral.
GCUAGUUGGUGGGGUAAUGGCCCACCAAGGCAUUGAUGGGUAGCUGGUCUGAGAGGAUGAUCAGCCACACUGGAACUGAAACACGGUCCAGACUCCUACGGGAGGCAGCAGUGGGGAAUCUUGCGCAAUGGACGAAAGUCUGACGCAGCCACGCCGCGUGAACGAUGAAGGCCUUAGGGUUGUAAAGUUCUUUUGCCCGUGACGAUGAUGACGGUAACGGGAGAAUAAGCUCCGGCUAACUUCGUGCCAGCAGCCGCGGUAAUACGAAGGGGGCUAGCGUUGUUCGGAAUUACUGGGCGUAAAGCGCGCGCAGGCGGUUCGUCAAGUUGGGGGUGAAAUCCCCGGGCUCAACCCGGGAAUGGCCUUCAAGACUGUCGAGCUAGAGGACGAGAGAGGUGAGUGGAAUUCCCAGUGUAGAGGUGAAAUUCGUAGAUAUUGGGAAGAACACCGGUGGCGAAGGCGGCUCACUGGCUCGUUUCUGACGCUGAGGCGCG